CGGGCCUUGUACACACCGCCCGUCACACCCCGAAAAUGGGGAACAGAUGAAGCCGGUGGCCUAACCGCAAGGGAGGAGCCGUCGAGUCUGGGUUCAUGAUUGGGGUG
RNAcentral lists this ribosomal RNA (107 nucleotides) under uncultured bacterium. RNAcentral describes it as "partial 16S ribosomal RNA". It matches the Rfam family "Bacterial small subunit ribosomal RNA", at positions 1375 to 1482 of the family's 1533-position model. The record is from RNAcentral.